UGAUCUAGACAACUCUGUUACUUCUUGCUUGCCAGAGAGCACAGCUAUGGCUGCUUCUCCUUGACUACCCACUCUGGCUUGGUGGGAGCGUCUCUGCCAUCCAGCUUCUCCAUCAACUUUGUCAACUUUGAGCCUAAGCAGGGCCACUGAAUGAGAGAUUUUGGAUAAGUCAUUGUCAAGGUAACUAUAGACAGCUGUGGUGUGUUGCAAGCAUGCCAGCCAUGGAGGCAGAAAGCCUGGGUUUGAAUUCCAGUUACUCACAAAUUGCGAGGAAAUGAAGCACCAAAAAGGAAUUCAUCCAACAUCAUAACUGGUGGAGUUGGAAUUCAGACUCUGUGCCUCCAGAAAGCAAUACUGCCCAACACAUAUGAAAAUUCCUAGCAGCAACUGCCCCUGACCUUUUCAGCUCCCAGACUGCUGGCUGUCAACCAACAUGCAACUGGCAGAAAAAUAGAAACCUUCUCUUGGGGGAGAGAAAAGAUCUAAGAUUCUGAUAUCAGGAAGCCCCCAAGGAAUAGAACGAAGAUCUUGACACUGAGAGUCUCCCAAGGAAUUGGCCCAGCUAGAUGGCCCUACAAUGAAGACUACAGUCAACCAGCUACAUGGACACACAUGGAGUUUCUAAUCAGCUUUCUGGCAGACAACUUUUGGUUUGAGCAAACAGCCAGAGAAUACCAGGACAAGGAAAGCCUCUGCUAUGACCAAGAUAUUCAGAAAAUAAGAGAAGUUGUUGGAUUUAUAAAAGAAGAACAGGGUACUAUGUUAAAAAAAAAAAAAUUCAGAGAACCAAGAAGCAAGCUUUUGGAAAUUAAAAUUAUGAUAACUGAUAUGAAGGGGGUGUAUAUAAGUAGAAGAUAAAUACAGAAGAUAGAAUAUAGGAAAUAUCCAAGAAAGUAAAACAAAAAGACGAAGAUAUAGAGAAUAAAAGAGAAAAGAGAAGAAAAUUAGAAGACCAAGCCAGACAAUUCAACACCUAAAUAAUAGGAGUUCCAGAAAUUGGAAGCAGAGAAAAUGGAGGGGAGGAAGUUAUAAAACGUAAUUCAAGAAAGUUUCUCAGAACUGAGAGGCAUACUUGCCCAGUGGAAUGUCCUAAAGUAGACCCACAGCAUAUCAUAUUAUGGCAUUUCAAAUCACUAGGAAAAAUCAGAAAGUCCUACAAUCUCCACAACAGUGGGAAAGAGGCAUUUCAUACGAGAGUCAAGAAUCAGAAUGGCACUAAACUCCUCAAAAUAUAACAGUGGAAUCUAUAAGACAAUAAAACAAUGUCUUCAAACUUCUGAAGAAAAAUGAUUUCCAAUUUCAAUUCUAUUCCCACUCAAAAGUGUGAGGGCAGAAUGAAGAUCUCAAAAAACUUACCUCCUUUGUGCCCUUUCUCUGGAAUCUACAGGGGGAUGUGCUCCAAGAAAACAAGGAAGUAAAGUAAGAAAGAGUUAGACCUAGGGUCCAAGAAACAGAGACAAGGAGAGUCUCCAGGAUGGGUUGAAUGGGGACCUCAAGGUGACAGCAGUGCCUAGAAAGCAACAUGUCUAGGAUGGAACAGGUUACAAGGUUCCAGGAAGGAUUUCUUCAGGAAGAGGAAAUUGAUUGAAUACCUAAUUUGAACGUCUCAGGAGUAAACUUGCAUGCACACUUCAGGAAGGAUUUGGGUUAAAUUAGCAAUAAGUCCAUAAAAAGAUAAGACAAUCCAUAAAAAGACCAUUGUUAAUUUCAGAGAAAACUAAUAAGCAAGGCUUUUAAAAUUAAGAACUUGCUGGGCCAGCCCCAGUGACCCAGUGGUUAAGUUCGACGCACUGUGCUUCAGCGGCCUGGGUUCAAUUCCUGGGCAUGGACCUACACCACUUGUUUGUCAGUGACCAUACUGUGGUGGCAGCUCACAUACAAAAAGAGGAAGAUUGGCAGUGGAUAUUAACUCAGGGCAGAUCUUCCUCAGCAAAGACAAAAAAAAAAAAAUUAAGGACUUAUACUCAUCAAAAGCAAGUUUAAAGACAAAUUAUAAUCUUGAGAUAUUCACAAUACACAUAAAUGAAAAAUAAUAUCAAGAAUGUAAAAUGAACUUCUAAAAAUCAAUAAGAAGACCACAAACACUCCCAUAAAAAAUAGGGGGGAGAUACGAAGAAGUAUUUCACAGAAGAGGAAUUACGUAUGGCCAUACAAAUACAAAGAGAUGCUCAAUUAUCAGUGAUCAGGAUAAUACAAAUCAAGGCCUUGAUAAUAUGGCAUUUCAUUGGUGGAAACUUAAAAAACUGAUAAUACCAAAUGUUGGAUAAGAUGUAGAUUCAUGCAAUCUUUUACAUGUUGCUGGUGUGAUUAAAAAAUAAAAAUGUUCUGGGCCGGCCCAGUGGCAUAGUGUUUAAGUCCAUGAGCUCUACUUCAGUGGCCUGAGGCUCACAGGUUUGGAUCCCAGGCAUGGACCUACACAGUGCUCAUCAAUCCAUGCUGUGGCAGCAUCCCACAUACAAAAUAGAGGAAGAUUGGCACAGAUGUUAGCUUGGGGCAAAUCUUCCUCACCAAAAAAAGAAGAAAAAAAAAUUUGUCAUUACCUUCCAAAGUUGAAGAAAAACAUUCUAUGACCCAGCAAUCCUCUUUUAGAGAGAAAGAGAAAGUUUUAAAUAUAUAUAAGAGAAAUGUGUGAGAAGAUUCAUUACAGCACUGUUCAGCAAAAACCUGGAAACAACCCAACAGCUGCCCAUCAGUGGAGGCGUAGAUGAAUAAACUGUGGUAAUUUACAACAGUCAAAACAAAUAAAUGUAUGGAUGAAUCAGAGUGAUUUUGUCAUAAGAGUAAAAAGUAAAUCUCAAUAUUGUAUACAGCCUGAUGUACUUUAUAUAAAAUUUAAAUUAAAAAAUCCUCCUGCUUUCUAUUCAAUUAUUAGUCAUAUAUUCUUUUGCUUUUCUUGUUGUGGUUAUCCUAGAGAUUAUAUGUUGUAUCUUUGAUGUUUAAAGUUUAAUAUGUUGGUACUUUUCUUUCUUCCCAGGCAAUUCAAAGACUUUAGAACACUUAAAUCCCAUUUAUCACUCUCCUACUUAUUUACCAUUGUUGUCAUAUAUUUUAAUCCUCUCAAUGUUUUUAUCCCCACAAAAUGUUAUUACUGUUGUUUUCUGCAAUCAGUAUUGACCUAGUUUACCCACAUAUUUAUGUGAUUUUUGCUCUUCAUUCCUCUCUACAUUUCUGAAUUUCCCCUGAAAUAAUUUCCCUUCCAUUUGAUGAACAUCCUUUAAUUCUCUCAGUUUUGCACUGGAAACAUAAUUAUUUUACUUCCUUUUUUAAGCAUUGCUUUUUCUGGGAAUAGAAUUCUAGGUUGGGAUUUAUUUUCUUUUUGCAUUUUAAAGAUAUCGUUUCAUUGUCUUCCAGCUUCCAUUGCUCUUGCUUGACUGAAUGUUUCUUUGAAGACAAUCUGUCGUUUUUCUCUUUCUCUUAGUCCGUGGUGUUUAGUAGUUAUACUAUGAUGUAUGUAGGGGUGUGUGUGUCUGUAUUUAUCCUGCUUGUGAUUUAUAAUAUGACUUCAAUCUGUGGCUUGGCAAAUUUCAUCAUUUUUAGAAAAAUUUAAAUCAUUAUCUCUUCAAAUAUUACUUCUGUCCAAUUUUCCUUCUCCUCUUCUGUGUCCUAUAUAUUUCUUACGGAAAAAAAGCUACAAGAAAGAACCAAGAAAAGUAUUCUUUUUUAUUCUUUUCUCUUCCUUGCCUCAUUUAGGAUGUUUUUAUCUGAUCUGUCUUCCAAUUAACUAAUUAUCUGUUCAUUUGUAUUUAAUCUGUUGUUAGAUCUAUUCAUUGGGGGGUCUGAGUAAAAGUUAUUCUUUUUAGAUUUUAGAAUUUUUUUCUCUUCUUUCUUUUAGCUUCUAGUUCUUUACCAGGAUUCUCCAUCUUGUCUUUUAUUUCUUUGAACAUAUUAAGCAUAAUUAUUUUCAAGUCUUAUGUUUGAUAACUCCAUUUUCUUGAGCCUCUGUUGUCC
Long non-coding RNA from Equus asinus (donkey), 3948 nucleotides. NCBI's taxonomy places the organism in Eukaryota, Metazoa, Chordata, Mammalia, Perissodactyla, Equidae. The record is from Ensembl.